GUGGAUUAGAUACCCGGGUAGUCCACGCCGUAAACGAUGAAUACUCGGCAUCUGGGGGGCGAUAUUCGUCCGCCGGGUGCCCCAGCUAACGCGGUAAGUAUUCCGCCUGGGAACUACGAGCGCAAGCUUAAAACUCAAAGGAAUUGACGGGGGCCCGCACAAGCAGCGGAGCGUGUGGUUUAAUUCGACGCAACGCGCAGAACCUUACCCAGGUUUGACAUGGCACUGCAAGCCGGUGAAAGCCGGUCGCCUUCGAGGGUGUGCCACAGAUGCUGCAUGGCUGUCGCCAACU
RNAcentral lists this ribosomal RNA (292 nucleotides) under uncultured bacterium. RNAcentral's name for it is "partial 16S ribosomal RNA". It matches the Rfam family "Bacterial small subunit ribosomal RNA", at positions 773 to 1060 of the family's 1533-position model. The record is from RNAcentral.